RNAcentral lists this ribosomal RNA (217 nucleotides) under uncultured bacterium. Its description in RNAcentral is "partial 16S ribosomal RNA". It matches the Rfam family "Bacterial small subunit ribosomal RNA", at positions 28 to 256 of the family's 1533-position model. The record is from RNAcentral.
GACGAACGCUGGCGGCGCGCCUAAUACAUGCAAGUCGAACGGACUGGCUUCGGCCAGUCAGUGGCGGACGGGUGAGUAACACGUGGGUGACCUGCCCUCAAGUGGGGAAUAACGCUGCGAAAGCAGCGCUAAUACCGCAUACCCUUCGGCCGUCAGGGGCUGAAGGAAAGCUUUGGCGCUUGAGGAGGGGCCUGCGGCCGAUUAGCUAGGUCGGGGA